GCCAUAGUGGCAUAGUGGUUUGAGUUUUGGACUAUAACUUUGGAGAUGAGGGUUUGAUUCCCUGCUCAGCCA
This is a non-coding RNA of Phrynosoma platyrhinos (Desert horned lizard), 72 nucleotides long. Lineage: Eukaryota; Metazoa; Chordata; Lepidosauria; Squamata; Phrynosomatidae. The record is from the annotation of a GenBank genome assembly.